CUGUCAGCACAGAGCCCAAUGCGGGGCUCGAACCCACAAACCGUGAGAUCAUGACCUGAGCUGAAGUUGGAUGCUUAACUACCUGAGGCCCUCCAGGCGCCCCAAGAUUUCAUUUUUUCACUAAUAUCUACAUGCGACGUGAGGCUCCAACCUACAACCUGAGAUCACUAGUCGCACGCUCCACUGACCGAGCCAGCCAGGCGCCGCAACGGUGAGGUGGCCUUACAGAGACGCCCCCUCAUCUCCUGUGCUGCCUUUCUCCCUGCUCUCCAGCGGCCAUCCAUCUGGAGCCUGGGGGUUUUCCCCUGGCCCCAAGGAGGAAACCACUCUCCUGCCUGCCCAAAGCCCAGAAAGUGUGAGCCCCUGGGUCAGUCCCAGCCGCCUGACCCUCUAGGUGAAGUGUUUUGUGCCCAACUCCUGCUAUGACAAGUGCAUGUCCCACAUUGCCUGCUCCCGGCCUCUCUCCCCACUGUGGAGUCACCCCCAACCUACGGAGGCGGGAACUGAGUCCCUGGAGGGCCAGCCUGCUGUGACCAUGGUCAGGUUGGCAGAAUCUGACGAAAGACUGCAGGAGGGGAGGGCAUCAGCACCGAGAUCCUGGCUCAGGACCCGCCAGUCCCCGGGGAAGAAUGGUACCCUGAUGAUCCAAGAUCAGCCAGAGGCAAGGCGGGGAUCCGGGGACCCGGCGCCCCUCAGACAGCUCCAGAACCUCCACGUUCCUUCCAGGACCUCUAGCACCAGCGGGAACUUGUUAGAAACACAGAUGAGGGCACCUGGGUGGCUCAGUUUUCAGUCAGUUUUCAGCUCAGGUCAUGAUCUCGCGGUUUGAUGAGUUGGAGGCUGGCGUUGGGCUCUGCACUGACAGGGUGGAUCCUGCUUGGGAUUCUCGGUUUCCCUCUCGCUCUACACCACCCUCCCCCCAAAUAAAUAAACUUAAAAAGAAAUGCAGACGGGUCACCCCUACCUAGCCCAGACUUUUGGCAUUAGCAGGUCUGGGGCUGGUGCAACAAUCUGUUUUAAGGAGCUCUGCAGGCCAACACAGUGCGGUGCUGGCUCAAAUUUCAGAGGGGGUGGAGGGUGGGCUAGGAAGGGUGCGCGCGGGGCAUCCCGCCCAGGCCUGAGGUUGCAGGUGGCGCCAGAGCCCUCACCUGCGCCACCGGGAGGAUCACCCAAGUGGUGAUCGGGGUGGUUGUGGCGCGUUCCGGGUUGGUGCCUGCAGCACCCCUCGCCCGGGGUGCAGGCUGGCGGUGGGGUCAGCGCUUGGGCUGGGAGGGCGACUCGAGAUGGCUGCGCAGCCCUUCCAGAAAAGUCCUCGCUGCGGCCCGGGCUUGUCUGAUACGGUUUCGGUGAUUCUGGCUUCCCGAGGGUCCCCAGGGGACGGGGUCCUGACACGGCAGAACCUGCUCCCCGCCUGCGCCUACCGGUGGCUUGGCUGACCGCUCCGCCCCCCAGGGGAGGGGGCUCCGUGGCCCGACCCGC
Felis catus (domestic cat) is the source of this 1479-nucleotide long non-coding RNA. RefSeq lists it as uncharacterized. The record is from RefSeq and is a predicted model, not a curated record. NCBI's taxonomy places the organism in Eukaryota, Metazoa, Chordata, Mammalia, Carnivora, Felidae. The transcript is spliced from 3 exons.